Molecule: long non-coding RNA, 1306 nt
Organism: Lagopus leucura (white-tailed ptarmigan)
Lineage: Eukaryota; Metazoa; Chordata; Aves; Galliformes; Phasianidae
Exons: 2
Source: RefSeq, a predicted model, not a curated record
GCCGGCGGCUGAGCGCGGGUACCGCCGACCCCCGCUGUUAGCGGCUCUGUUACUGCCCGUGUGGGCGCGAACGCUGAAGUCUGCCCUGGAAAAACGUCCGUCGUCGGGUUUUAGGUCUGGCCUCGAUCUCUCGCCGCAUAGAAUAGGACGUGGUUUUGUCUGUCUGAAUUAUGCUUCUGUAGUGUUAUAAAAGGGCUCUGAGCUUAUCUCGGCAAAGUAAUCCUAGUCCUCUGACCUGCAAAAUGGAGCCAUUGCCAUAGAAAGGCCAGAUUUUGCAAGAGCUGCCCAAAGGCAAGCCGUGGAUCUCGGUGUCGUGUCUAAGCUGAUGCAGAGCAGCACCGCUGGCCCGUGUGAUGGUGAUGAUGCUGGUGUAAGUGAAUCUCCCAGCAUGCACGUGCUCUCCCACCAUUCCCACAAGCGGCACAGCUGCAGCGCUGGGAGCGGUCGUUGGGAAUGGUGGGAGACCGACCUGGUGUGGCUGUAGAAGGAGGCAGAUGCGGGGCUGUCUGUCACCCUGGGUGAACCUCCUUGCAUAACUGCUGUGGCUGCGCUCAGACGGUGCGGGGAGCGAUGAGAAGCGAGGAGUGUGGCACCUGGCUGUAAUUCAUCUCAUGGGGAGAAAAGGCGUUGGAAGUUUUUCCCACAAAGAUGACAAACUGGGGAAAGCCCUUACAUAUAAGGAUGAUACAGUUCUGUGUUCUUUGUUUGCCGAGUUCACCUGAGGAUCUAAAUUUACAAGAGAUAAAAUGCUGCAAGUAUUCACCAAUGGAAAGAGUGUACAGCUUGUUUGUGUUAUGCACUUCCGUAUGACUGUAUUAUUUGGUGGAAGGAAGUAAUAAAAUAAUGAAUGCCAAUUCAGAAUGUUGGAAAUCUUCACAGUCUGAGUGAGUUCUACAUUGAGAUGUUUUCCAUAACGCUGCACUGAAGGCAUGGAUUUGCUGAGGUGGGGGAUGGGGCAUCGGAGUCUCUCCCUCCGCUGUGCAGUGCCUGCAGCCCUGGGCUGACUGCGGCCGUCGCACUCCUGUUCUCUGCAUCGCUUUGUUCUGGUUUAGCUCUGCUGGCUUUAAAUGGAGCUGUUGAUAGGCACAGGGUGAAUGGGUAGCAGAGAUGAAUCUGAUCAUCUGGACACAUGACUUUGGUUUGUUUUUUGCUAUGGAUGGUGUCAUUUAGGCAAGAAGAAAGAGUUCUGGUGUGAAAGUGUUUUCUGAGGCGAUGUUACUGCCUAAAUAUUUAAGGCUGGGCUAUAUUCUUGGAAAUAAAAAGAAAGGAGAAAGACAAAAUACAACUACCAGUUUUAUCACAGAAA